Molecule: long non-coding RNA, 834 nt
Filed under: Homo sapiens (human)
Lineage: Eukaryota; Metazoa; Chordata; Mammalia; Primates; Hominidae
Description: HSALNT0236139
Source: RNAcentral
UUUGAGACAGAGUCUUGCUCUGUCACCCAGGCUGCAGUGCAGUGGUGUGAUCUCAGCUCACUGCAACCUCCACCUCCCAGGCUCAAGUGAUUCUCCUGCCUCAGCCUCCCUAGUAGCUGGGAUUACAGGCACCCGCCACCACACCAGGCUCAUUUUUGUAUUUUUAGUAGAGAUGGGGUUUCACCAUGUUGGCCAGGAUGGUCUUGAACUCCUGACCUCGUGAUCCACCUGCCUUGGCCUCCCAAAUAGCUGGGAUUACAGGCACCUGCCACCAUGCCCGGCUGAUUUUUGUAUUUUUAGUAGAGACGGGGUUUCACCAUGUUGGUCAGGCUGGUCUUGAACUCCGGACCUCAGGUGAUCCACCCGCCUCAGCCUCCCAAAUAGCUGGGAUUACAGGCAUGCGCCACCACGCCCGGCUAAGUUUUGUAUUUUUAGUAGAGACGGGGUUUCACCAUGUUGGUCAGGCUUGUCUUGAACUCCUGACCUCGUGAUCCUCCUGCCGCAGCCUCCCAAAGUGCUGGGAUGACAGGUAUGAGCCCUGCACCUGGCUAUGUAUUUUUAGUUCACAUAAAUGGUGUCGUGCUACAGUUCUUUUUCCACUGCAUCCUGCUGUUUGAAUGUUUCAUAACAAAUGGGUUUUAUAGAAUUCAAUACUCCACUCCUUCCCCGUAAACGUCCUACAUGCCAUGGACCCAUGACUCCACUUGUCCCAAUCCCCAGGAAUGGUGGAUUCUUUCUCCUUCCUGCAGGGCCCCGGAUCCUGUCUCUCUGGCACCCCCAGCCUGGGUGGGCACAGUGGGUGGAGGGGGAGGGGCAGACUUACCUGGGGCUGUU